AUUGAACGCUGGCGGCAGGCCUAACACAUGCAAGUCGAGCGGAUGAGAGGAGCUUGCUCCUUGAUUUAGCGGCGGACGGGUGAGUAAUGCCUAGGAAUCUGCCUGGUAGUGGGGGAUAACGUUCCGAAAGGAACGCUAAUACCGCAUACGUCCUACGGGAGAAAGCAGGGGACCUUCGGGCCUUGCGCUAUCAGAUGAGCCUAGGUCGGAUUAGCUAGUUGGUGAGGUAAUGGCUCACCAAGGCGACGAUCCGUAACUGGUCUGAGAGGAUGAUCAGUCACACUGGAACUGAGACACGGUCCAGACUCCUACGGGAGGCAGCAGUGGGGAAUAUUGGACAAUGGGCGAAAGCCUGAUCCAGCCAUGCCGCGUGUGUGAAGAAGGUCUUCGGAUUGUAAAGCACUUUAAGUUGGGAGGAAGGGCAGUAAGCUAAUACCUUGCUGUUUUGACGGUACCGACAGAAUAAGCACCGGCUAACUUCGUG
Molecule: ribosomal RNA, 484 nt
Filed under: uncultured bacterium
Lineage: Bacteria
Description: partial 16S ribosomal RNA
Rfam family: Bacterial small subunit ribosomal RNA
Source: RNAcentral